This 468-nucleotide ribosomal RNA is filed under the name uncultured bacterium. RNAcentral describes it as "partial 16S ribosomal RNA". It matches the Rfam family "Bacterial small subunit ribosomal RNA", at positions 28 to 507 of the family's 1533-position model. The record is from RNAcentral.
GACGAACGCUGGCGGCGUGCUUAACACAUGCAAGUCGAACGGAAAGGCCCUGCUUUUGUGGGGUGCUCGAGUGGCGAACGGGUGAGUAACACGUGAGUAACCUGCCCUUGACUUUGGGAUAACUUCAGGAAACUGGGGCUAAUACCGGAUAGGAGCUCCUGCUGCAUGGUGGGGGUUGGAAAGUUUCGGCGGUUGGGGAUGGACUCGCGGCUUAUCAGCUUGUUGGUGGGGUAGUGGCUUACCAAGGCUUUGACGGGUAGCCGGCCUGAGAGGGUGACCGGCAACAUUGGGACUGAGAUACGGCACAGACUCCUACGGGAGGAAGCAGUGGGGAAUAUCGCACAAUGGGCGGAAGCCUGAUGCAGCAACGCCGCGUGCGGGAUGACGGCCUUCGGGUUGUAAACCGCUUUCGCCUGUGACGAAGCGUGAGUGACGGUAAUGGGUAAAGAAGCACCGGCUAACUACGUG